AAACAUGCAAGUCGAACGAGAAACCCGGGCUUGCCCGGGUGGACAGUGGCGAACGGGUGAGUAACACGUGAGGAACCUGCCCCGAAGACCGGGACAACACCGGGAAACCGGUGCUAAUACCGGAUGCCCUCACCGGACCGCAUGAUCCGGUGAGGAAAUGGAUUCCGCUUCGGGAUGGCCUCGCGGCCUAUCAGCUUGUUGGUGAGGUAACGGCUCACCAAGGCGACGACGGGUAGCUGGUCUGAGAGGAUGUCCAGCCACACUGGGACUGAGACACGGCCCAGACUCCUACGGGAGGCAGCAGUUAGGAAUCUUGCGCAAUGGACGAAAGUCUGACGCAGCGACGCCGCGUGCGGGAUGAAGGCCCUCGGGUUGUAAACCGCUUUCAGCAGGGACGAAAUUGACGGUACCUGCAGAAGAAGCCCCGGCCAACUACGUGCCAGCAGCCGCGGUAAUACGUAGGGGGCGAGCGUUGUCCGGAUUUAUUGGGCGUAAAGAGCUCGUAGGUGGUUUGGUAAGUCGGAUGUGAAAUCUCCAGGCUCAACCUGGAGGGGUCAUUCGAGACUGCCAUGACUAGAGUUCGGUAGAGGAGUGUGGAAUUCCUGGUGGAGCGGUGAAAUGCGCAGAUAUCAGGAGGAACACCCGUAGCGAAGGCGGCACUCUGGGCCGAUACUGACACUGAGGAGCGAAAGCGUGGGGAGCGAACAGGAUUAGAUACCCUGGUAGUCCACGCCGUAAACGUUGGGCACUAGGUGUGGGGUUCUAUCGACGGAUUCCGUGCCGUAGCUAACGCAUUAAGU
This 800-nucleotide ribosomal RNA is filed under the name uncultured Actinomycetes bacterium. RNAcentral describes it as "bacterial SSU rRNA". It matches the Rfam family "Bacterial small subunit ribosomal RNA", at positions 51 to 865 of the family's 1533-position model. The record is from RNAcentral. Lineage: Bacteria; Bacillati; Actinomycetota; Actinomycetes.